UGGGGAAUAUUGGACAAUGGGGGGAACCCUGAUCCAGCCAUGCCGCGUGUGUGAAGUAGGCCUUAUGGUUGUAAAGCACUUUAAGCGGGGAGGAGGGUACUGGUAUUAAUACUACCAGGUACUGGACGUUACUCGCAGAAUAAGCACUGGCUAACUCUGUGCCAGCAGCCGCGGUCAUACAGAGGGUGCGAGCGUUAAUCGGAUUUACUGGGCGUAAAGCGUGCGUAGGCGGCUAGUUUAGUCGGUUGUGAAGUCCCCGAGCUUAACUUGGGAAAUGCAUUCGAUACUGGUUAGCUAGAGUGUGGGAGAGGAUGGUGGAAUUCCAGGUGUAGCGGUGAAAUGCGUAGAGAUCUGGAGGAAUACCGAUGGCGAAGGCAGCCAUCUGGGCUAACACUGACGCUGAGGUACGAAAGCAUGGGGAGCAAACAGG
Molecule: ribosomal RNA, 430 nt
Filed under: Pseudomonadota bacterium
Lineage: Bacteria; Pseudomonadati; Pseudomonadota
Description: Proteobacteria bacterium partial 16S ribosomal RNA
Rfam family: Bacterial small subunit ribosomal RNA
Source: RNAcentral